CCUACGGGAGGCAGCAGUGAGGAAUAUUGGUCAAUGGGCGCGAGCCUGAACCAGCCAAGUCGCGUGAGGGAAGACGGUCCUAUGGAUUGUAAACCUCUUUUGUCGGGGAGCAAAAGACGCCACGCGUGGCGUUCCGAGAGUACCCGAAGAAAAAGCAUCGGCUAACUCCGUGCCAGCAGCCGCGGUAAUACGGAGGAGCCGAGCGUUAUCCGGAUUUAUUGGGUGUAAUGGGUGCGCAGGCGGAAUAUCAAGUCAGCGGUAAAAUUUAGCGGCUCAACCUCUUCGAGCCGUUGAAACUGGUAUUCGUGAGUGAGUGAGAGGUAUGCGGAAUGCGUGGUGUAGCGGUGAAAUGCUUAGAGAUCAUACAGAACACCGAUUGCGAAGGCAGCUUACCAAUCUAUAUCUGACGUUGAGGCACGAAAGCGUGGGGAGCAAACAGGAUUAGAUACCCUUGUAGUC
RNAcentral lists this ribosomal RNA (459 nucleotides) under uncultured bacterium. RNAcentral describes it as "partial 16S ribosomal RNA". It matches the Rfam family "Bacterial small subunit ribosomal RNA", at positions 338 to 795 of the family's 1533-position model. The record is from RNAcentral.